This 663-nucleotide long non-coding RNA is filed under the name Bos indicus x Bos taurus (hybrid cattle). Its description in RNAcentral is "lncRNA (ENSBIXG00005005222.1)". Lineage: Eukaryota; Metazoa; Chordata; Mammalia; Artiodactyla; Bovidae. The record is from RNAcentral.
GCUGUGUUUGGAAUUAAUGGGUUCAGCUUCAUUCUGAGCACCGGGGAAGGCUAUUUUAGAAAGCAACUUCCCAGGCUGCGACUGGUCUUCACUGAUGUGGCAAACCCAACCUCUGAGCAGACGGUCUUCAAAUAGAACUGGCCCGGCGUCUGGAAGGCACAGCGGGGCCGCCCCUUUCAGGGCGCAACCCCUGGUGUCCCCCAGCCCUGGGUGACGUCCCGCCUCGCCCUGCCCCCAUCCUGGCUGGCUGGAGGUGUCCUCCAUCCACAGUAGCAGGAAGGCGGUGUGGGGGCGGGGGAGGGCGAGAUCCCUCCGAAAUGUGACAAAGGGAACAGCGCCAGGCUUCUGCCCAACAGCACGACCAAGCGCAUCCCUCCCCCAGGUGACACAAGAUGAAUGCUGAAUCCUAGAAAAAUGGUCAGAAGAGGGACCAGAGUUCAGCCUGUCUGAUCUGGGAUGUGAAUGGACCCCUUGCGCCUUCUGACAUACUGGGGCUGUGUUUUGCUUCUCAUGGCGCUGAUGGCACAUCUGAAAGGUAGGAGUCUGGGUUUUGCCUGUGGGUGGAUAUUUGCAGUCACAUCUGGCUUUGCUUUGCCGUAUUGUUAACCCCCCUUUUCCCUGCUACAGUUGUUUUCUUUUUAUUAAAUUUCCCGUCUGGAUCCC